AGAUUCCCAGGCUGUUGAAGAAGGUGAUGGGCCUAAGAUUAGCUUGGAAGAAGGUUCUGACUUGGUUGAUAAAGAAGGAGAAGUAGGUGUUGUUGCUAAUGACCACAUUUUGGCUCCGAGAAAUGAAGAACCAGAGCAGGAAUUUUUUGCAGAAGUUUUCACUUCAGAAAUACCAAGAAUUGCAACAUCAUUAACAAACUCGCAAACAGUUGAAACACCCUCAAAUAGUAUUGAGAAAGUUGCCGUAGAGGAAACCAUAGCAAAGAACACCAAUAUGGAAGCUUCAUCCAUUCUUUCCGAAUCCGCCACCUUUCAGUUGGACCUAACAGUUACUUUACAAAGUAAAUCACAUCCACAUGUAAGUUUAUUUUAUGCAAUUCACAUUUCUAACAUAUUCGGUCAGAAUAAAAAGGAUGUUGCCAUUCUGAUUUUAGGAGUGGAAUUGAAAAACAAAAAGUAC
This 460-nucleotide small RNA is filed under the name Vigna angularis var. angularis. RNAcentral describes it as "Non-protein coding transcript". The record is from RNAcentral. Lineage: Eukaryota; Viridiplantae; Streptophyta; Magnoliopsida; Fabales; Fabaceae.